Molecule: non-coding RNA, 329 nt
Organism: Leptonychotes weddellii (Weddell seal)
Lineage: Eukaryota; Metazoa; Chordata; Mammalia; Carnivora; Phocidae
Source: RefSeq, a predicted model, not a curated record
GUCUUGGGCUGCCGAGGGCCCUGGAUCUGGGCCUGGAUGAGGAUCUCAGCGCCCUUGGACAUGGGAGGAGGCGGGGAGUGGAGGAGGGAGUUUCUACCCGCAGUGCUCUGGUCUCCUGUCCCUGACGCCUGAAGUCCCAGGCACGGCUUCAUAGGGUUGCACGGUGUCAGGUGUUUGAAAACAUGACCUGCUUAGCUCUGUACCUUUGAAGUGAUCCCUGCCUCCACCCUGGACCUGCCUCCUCAGCUGUCCUACAGUUCCCUGCCUCCUACAGGCUGCCAGGACCCGCAGUGCUACAGUGUCCCAGCUGUGCUGUCCCCAGAGCUCUG